This 406-nucleotide ribosomal RNA is filed under the name uncultured bacterium. RNAcentral describes it as "partial 16S ribosomal RNA". It matches the Rfam family "Bacterial small subunit ribosomal RNA", at positions 30 to 526 of the family's 1533-position model. The record is from RNAcentral.
AUUGAACGCUGGCGGCAGGCCUAACACAUGCAAGUCGAACGAGUGGCGGACGGGUGAGCAAUGUCUGGGAAUCUGCCUGAUGGAGGGGGAUAACUACCGGAAACGGUUGCUAAUACCGCAUACCAUCAGAUGUGCCCAGAUGGGAUUAGCUUGUUGGGGGGGUAAAGGCUCACCAAGGCGACGAUCCCUACUUGGUCUGAGAGGAUGACCAGCCACACUGGAACUGAGACACGGUCCAGACUCCUACGGGAGGCAGCAGUGGGGAAUAUUGGACAAUGGGCGCAAGCCUGAUGCAGCCAUGCCGCGUGUGUGAAGAAGGCCUUCGGAUUGUAAAGUACUUUAAGCGGGGAGGCGUUACCCGCAGAAGAAGCACCGGCUAACUCCGUGCCAGCCGCCGCGGUAAUUC